This 253-nucleotide ribosomal RNA is filed under the name uncultured bacterium. RNAcentral's name for it is "partial 16S ribosomal RNA". It matches the Rfam family "Bacterial small subunit ribosomal RNA", at positions 524 to 776 of the family's 1533-position model. The record is from RNAcentral.
GACGAACCGUGCGAACGUUGUUCGGAAUCACUGGGCUUAAAGGGCGCGUAGGCGGGCUGACAAGUCUGGGGUGAAAUCCCGCGGCUCAACCGUGGAACUGCCUUAGAUACUGUCGGCCUCGAGGAAGGUAGGGGCAUGCGGAACUGUAGGUGGAGCGGUGAAAUGCGUUGAUAUCUACAGGAACUCCGGUGGCGAAAGCGGCGUGCUGGACCUUUUCUGACGCUGAGGCGCGAAAGCUAGGGGAGCAAACGGA